AGUCUGCGCAGGGACUGGCGGGACUGCGCGGAGGCGACUGCAGACGUAUCGGGGGUCCGGAGCCUGUCGCGGCUGCUAAGCGCUCGGCGCCUGGCGCUGGCGCUGGCCAAGGCUUGUUGCAAACAGGAACCCGAGGUGUUCACUUCACUGUUGAAGGAACGAGAGGGCAUCUGCUAAAGUUUCAGAUUCCAUUUCUGCUCAGUAUCCAGUAGUGGAUCAUGAAUUUGAUGCAGUGGUGGUAGGCGCUGGAGGGGCAGGCUUUGCGAGCUGCAUUUGGCCUUUCCGAGGCAGAGUUUGAUACAGCAUGUGUUACCAAGCUGUUUCCUACCAGGUCACACACUGUUGCAGCGCAGCUAGAAAAUUAUGGCAUGCCGUUUAGCAGAACUGAAGAUGGGAAGAUUUAUCAGCGUGCAUUUGGUGGACAGAGCCUCAAGUUUGGAAAGGGCAGGCAGGCCCAUCGGUGCUGCUGUGUGGCUGAUCGGACCGGCCACUCAAUAUUGCACACCUCAUAUGGGAGGUCUCUGAGAUAUGAUACCAGCUGUUUUGUGGAGUAUUUUGCCUUGGAUCUCCUGAUAGAGAACAGGGAGUGCCGUGGUGUCAUUGCACUGUGCAUAGAGGACGGGUCCAUCCAUCACAUAAGAGCAAAGAACACUGUUGUUGCCACAGGAGUCAAGAAACUUUUCUUUUGAGCUAUUGACAGCUUUUAACAAGUUAUUAUACUCCUAUGAACAAAAUUUGGAGCAUAUUUGUUUCUCUCUGCCUGAUUUCUCCUGAAUUUGGAAACUAUUUUCACUGAAAGCUAAGCUGUGCUUUGUGAAGCCCUGUGAACUGAAGCUAGACAACUUAAACUUCAGAAGAAAAUAACAGCAACCUGUUUACAUAUAUAAGCUACUUUCAUACCUGCCUACUGAUGUAUGGACUUCAGAGUAGUGUGGCCUAUAUCGAUUUUCUAGGAUCAUUAUUUUGUUUGUUGUUUUUCUCCCUUCCUCCACCUAUUUUCUCUUCAUAGGACAUGAGGAUUCUCAACCUGAUAAAAAUGAGCUUUCCUAAUAACUCAAGACCCAUCUGCCUAGGAAUAAACCAUCCCAGCUGUGAGAGACCAGACGAAACCUGAGACCAGAGACUCGUUUUCUUCUAAAAUGCUUUCUCCAAAAGAUUUUUAAACAGAAAAAGGGGGAAAUGUGAAAGGAAAAGAAAACUUGAGGCCCCCAAAAUCACUAAGCUAAAAGGAAAAGUCAAGCUGGGAAUGGCUUAGGGCAAACCUGCCUCCCAUUCUAUGCAAAGUCAUCCCUCCGUGCACUGAGAUAAAUGCUUAUCUAAUUGCCUCCUUUGGAGAGGCUCAUCAGAAACUCAAAAUAAUGCAACCAUUUGACUCUCACCUACCUGUGACCUGGAAGAUCCCUCUCUGCUUGAGUUGUCCUGCUUUUCUGGAUGGAACCAAUGUUCAUCUUACAUAUAUUGAUUGAUGUCUCAUGUCUCCCUAAAAUGUAUAAAACCAAGCUGUGCCCUGACCACCUUGGGCACAUGUCGUCAGGACCUCCUGAGGCUGUGCCACAGGCAUGCAGCCUCAACCUUGGCAAAAUAAACUUUCUAAAUUGACUGAGA
Long non-coding RNA from Homo sapiens (human), 1605 nucleotides. Ensembl annotates it as SDHA pseudogene 4. Its record names the gene SDHAP4. The record is from Ensembl. NCBI's taxonomy places the organism in Eukaryota, Metazoa, Chordata, Mammalia, Primates, Hominidae.